UGCUUAGCAGCUAGCUCCACCACGAACCUCACACAUAAACAUAAAUAAAUUCAAAAGACCUAACCUCCCCCAAACAAACCAUUUUUUAUCCUUAGUAAGGGCGACAGAAAAGGAACCCAGGACGCGACAGAGACAGUACCGCAAGGGAAAGCUGAAAGAGUAGUGAAAUAAAUCAGUCAAGCUUAGUAAAGCAAAGUUUAUGCCUUGUACCUUUUGCAUCAUGCAUUAGUUAGUCCUUUCUAGGCAAAACGCUUUGUAGUCUAGACACCCGAAACCGAGUGAGCUACCCCGAGACAGUCUGUAAGAAGGACAAACCCGUCUCUGUGGCAAAAGAGUGGGGAGAGCUCCGGGUAGCGGCGACAGGCCUACCGAACUCGGUGAUAGCUGGUUGCCUGCGAAAUGGAUAGGAGUUCAGCCCUUAAUUUUCUUAUAGCCCGCUGGCUCACGCUUUUACAGUGAAAAGAAACCUAAGGAGUUAGACAAAAGGGGGACAGCCCUUUUGUCCUGAGACACAGCUUUAUAAGCCGGGUUCAGACUACACAUAGUAAGGCUUCGUCCUCUAGUGGGCCUAAAAGCAGCCAUCUAAGAAGAAAGCGUUAAAGCUCAGGAACUUCCUCGCCUAUGAUUUCAGUAACCAAACCUCACCCCGCUUACCCUAUCAGGCCCCUCUGAGCCCCCUCAGAGGCGAUACUGCUAGUAUGAGUAAUAAGAGUAAGAGACUCUCCCAGCACAAGUGUAACCCAGAACGAACCUCUCACUGGAAUUUAACGGCCCCAAAAGAGGGGACUACCAAGCAAAAAGACAACUAGAGAAGCAGGUAUUCAACACCGUUAAUCUUACACAAGGGUGCCCCUCGGGAAAGACAUAAGGAAGGGAAAGGAACUCGGCAAACUUACAAGCCUCGCCUGUUUACCAAAAACAUCGCCUCUUGUAUACCCCUUAUAGGAGGUCUUGCCUGCCCGGUGAUUUUCAUUAAACGGCUGCGGUAUUCUGACCGUGCAAAGGUAGCGCAAUCACUUGUCCCCUAAAUGGGGACCUGUAUGAAUGGCUUAACGAGGGCUUAACUGUCUUUCUUUUCUAGUCAAUGAAAUUGAUCCCCCCGUGAAGAAGCGGGGAUUCGCCCAUAAGACGAGAAGACCCUGUGGAGCUUAAGACGCAAUUAUAGCCCUAGUAAACAACCCGCACUUACCGGAAAACCCCACUUGGAGCCUAUACUUUUGUCUUUGGUUGGGGUGACCAAGGGGCACUAACUACCCCCCUUAAAGAUCCGGGAUUUAUCCUAUAACCCAGAGAGACAUCUCUAAGUACCAGUACUACUGACUGUGUGAUCCGGCCCAGGCCGAUCAAUGGACCGAGUUACCCCAGGGAUAACAGCGCAAUCCCCUUCCAGAGCCCAUAUCGACAAGGGGGUUUACGACCUCGAUGUUGGAUCAGGACAUCCUAUUGGUGCAACCGCUAAUAAGGGUUCGUUUGUUCAACGAUUAAAGUCCUACGUGAUCUGAGUUCAGACCGGAGUGAUCCAGGUCAGUUUCUAUCUAUGACAAACUUCCCCCUAGUACGAAAGGACCGGGGAAAGAGGGCCCAUGCCCCCGGUACGCCCUUCCUCCACCUUUUGCCCCCCCCUAAAAAAGACAAGGAGGCACCCUCGCCCGUCAGAUACCCUGACU
This 1667-nucleotide ribosomal RNA is filed under the name Acanthemblemaria sp. AC-2023. RNAcentral describes it as "16S ribosomal RNA". It matches the Rfam family "Bacterial large subunit ribosomal RNA". Lineage: Eukaryota; Metazoa; Chordata; Actinopteri; Blenniiformes; Chaenopsidae. The record is from RNAcentral.